Molecule: ribosomal RNA, 496 nt
Filed under: uncultured bacterium
Lineage: Bacteria
Description: partial 16S ribosomal RNA
Rfam family: Bacterial small subunit ribosomal RNA
Source: RNAcentral
UGGGGAAUAUUGCACAAUGGGCGCAAGCCUGAUGCAGCAACGCCGCGUGAGGGACGACGGCCUUCGGGUUGUAAACCUCUUUUAGUAGGGAAGAAGCGAAAGUGACGGUACCUGCAGAAAAAGCACCGGCUAACUACGUGCCAGCAGCCGCGGUAAUACGUAGGGUGCGAGCGUUGUCCGGAAUUAUUGGGCGUAAAGAGCUCGUAGGCGGUCUGUCGCGUCUGCUGUGAAAACCCGAGGCUCAACCUCGGGCCUGCAGUGGGUACGGGCAGACUAGAGUGCGGUAGGGGAGAAUGGAAUUCCUGGUGUAGCGGUGGAAUGCGCAGAUAUCAGGAGGAACACCGAUGGCGAAGGCAGUUCUCUGGGCCGUAACUGACGCUGAGGAGCGAAAGCGUGGGGAGCGAACAGGAUUAGAUACCCUGGUAGUCCACGCCGUAAACGUUGGGCGCUAGAUGUGGGGACCAUUCCACGGUUUCCGUGUCGCAGCUAACGCAUU